AACCAGCUCUUCAAGUGGUCGGGAUAAUUAUUGGGCUUAAAGUGUCCGUAGCCGGUUUAGUAAGUUCCUGGUAAAAUCAGGUAGCCUAACUAUCUGUAUGCUAGGAAUACUGCUAUACUAGAGGGCGGGAGAGGUCUGAGGUACUACAGGGGUAGGGGUGAAAUCUUAUAAUCCUUGUAGGACCACCAGUGGCGAAGGCGUCAGACUGGAACGCGCCUGACGGUGAGGGACGAAAGCCAGGGGAGCGAACCGGAUUAGAUACCCGGGUAGUCCUGGCCGUAAACGAUGCAUACUAGGUGACGGCACGGCCAUGAGCCGUGUCAGUGCCGUAGGGAAACCGUUAAGUGUGCCGCCUGGGAAGUACGGUCGCAAGGCUAAAACUUAAAGGAAUUGGGCGGGGGAGCACCACGAAGGGGUGAAGCCUGCGGUUU
This 431-nucleotide ribosomal RNA is filed under the name uncultured archaeon. RNAcentral describes it as "bacterial SSU rRNA". It matches the Rfam family "Archaeal small subunit ribosomal RNA", at positions 474 to 903 of the family's 1478-position model. The record is from RNAcentral.